This 429-nucleotide RNase P RNA is filed under the name Ignavibacteriae bacterium HGW-Ignavibacteriae-2. RNAcentral describes it as "RNase P RNA component class A". It matches the Rfam family "Bacterial RNase P class A". Rfam says of the family: Ribonuclease P (RNase P) is a ubiquitous endoribonuclease, found in archaea, bacteria and eukarya as well as chloroplasts and mitochondria. Its best characterised activity is the generation of mature 5'-ends of tRNAs by cleaving the 5'-leader elements of precursor-tRNAs. Lineage: Bacteria; Pseudomonadati; Ignavibacteriota. The record is from RNAcentral.
GAAUCGAGCUGGGCAAUUGCUAUCGCGCUUUAAACAACGCGAAUAGAGGAAAGUCCGAACUCCUAAGAACAGGGUGCCGGGUAACGCCCGGGGUCUUGGCUUUAGUCGGGAUACGGAAAGUGCAACAGAAAAAAUACCACCUCAAAUUAAUUUGGGGAAAGGGUGAAAAGGCAGGGUAAGAGCCUACCGCUUCAAUAGUAAUGUUGGAGGUCCCGGAUGGGAGUCCCCAUUGUAUUUGGGGGUCAGUGUAAACCCCACCUGGAGCAAGGUCGAGUAGAAAGCUUCUCCUUAAUUUGGAGGCAAGGUUGUUCGCCUUGAAUGCUUUCGGGUAGACUGCACGACUCCGGCAGUAAUGCCGGGGCUAGAUAAAUAAUUGCCUCCUCAAUUUAUUUGAGGAAACAAAAUUCGGCUUAUAGGUUCGGUAAAUCA